AGAGUUUGAUCCUGGCUCAGAUUGAACGCUGGCGGCAUGCCUUACACAUGCAAGUCGAACGGUAACAGGUCUUCGGAUGCUGACGAGUGGCGAACGGGUGAGUAAUACAUCGGAACGUGCCCGAUCGUGGGGGAUAACGAAGCGAAAGCUUUGCUAAUACCGCAUACGAUCUACGGAUGAAAGCAGGGGACCGCAAGGCCUUGCGCGAACGGAGCGGCCGAUGGCAGAUUAGGUAGUUGGUGGGAUAAAAGCUUACCAAGCCGACGAUCUGUAGCUGGUCUGAGAGGACGACCAGCCACACUGGUACUGAGACACGGCCCAGACUCCUACGGGAGGCAGCAGUGGGGAAUUUUGGACAAUGGGCGAAAGCCUGAUCCAGCCAUGCCGCGUGCAGGAUGAAGGCCUUCGGGUUGUAAACUGCUUUUGUACGGAACGAAAAGACUCUGGUUAAUACCUGGGGUCCAUGACGGUACCGUAAGAAUAAGCACCGGCUAACUACGUG
This 502-nucleotide ribosomal RNA is filed under the name uncultured Acidovorax sp. RNAcentral describes it as "bacterial SSU rRNA". It matches the Rfam family "Bacterial small subunit ribosomal RNA", at positions 8 to 507 of the family's 1533-position model. Lineage: Bacteria; Pseudomonadati; Pseudomonadota; Betaproteobacteria; Burkholderiales; Comamonadaceae. The record is from RNAcentral.